GUCUACAGCCAUGCCACCCUGAGCAUGCCCGAUCUUGACUGAUCUUGGAAGCUAAGCAGGGUCAGGCUUGGUUAGUACGUGGAUGGGAUACCACAUAGGAAUACCAGGUGCUGUAGGUG
This 119-nucleotide ribosomal RNA is filed under the name Pteropus alecto (black flying fox). Lineage: Eukaryota; Metazoa; Chordata; Mammalia; Chiroptera; Pteropodidae. The record is from RNAcentral.